This 380-nucleotide ribosomal RNA is filed under the name Streptomycetaceae bacterium ACTS235. Its description in RNAcentral is "bacterial SSU rRNA". It matches the Rfam family "Bacterial small subunit ribosomal RNA", at positions 22 to 403 of the family's 1533-position model. The record is from RNAcentral. Lineage: Bacteria; Bacillati; Actinomycetota; Actinomycetes; Kitasatosporales; Streptomycetaceae.
GCUCAGGACGAACGCUGGCGGCGUGCUUAACACAUGCAAGUCGAACGAUGAACCACCUUCGGGUGGGGAUUAGUGGCGAACGGGUGAGUAACACGUGGGCAAUCUGCCCUGCACUCUGGGACAAGCCCUGGAAACGGGGUCUAAUACCGGAUACUGAACCGCUUGGGCAUCCAGGCGGUUCGAAAGCUCCGGCGGUGCAGGAUGAGCCCGCGGCCUAUCAGCUUGUUGGUGAGGUAACGGCUCACCAAGGCGACGACGGGUAGCCGGCCUGAGAGGGCGACCGGCCACACUGGGACUGAGACACGGCCCAGACUCCUACGGGAGGCAGCAGUGGGGAAUAUUGCACAAUGGGCGAAAGCCUGAUGCAGCGACGCCGCGUG